RNAcentral lists this ribosomal RNA (1306 nucleotides) under uncultured bacterium. RNAcentral's name for it is "bacterial SSU rRNA". It matches the Rfam family "Bacterial small subunit ribosomal RNA", at positions 28 to 1382 of the family's 1533-position model. The record is from RNAcentral.
GAUGAACGCUGGCGGCGUGCUUAACACAUGCAAGUCGAACGAACCUUCGGGUUAGUGGCGGACGGGUGAGUAACGCGUGAGAAUCUGCCCUCAGGAGGGGGAUAACGGUUGGAAACGACCGCUAAUACCCCAUAUGCCUACUGGUGAAACGAAUUUCGCCUGGGGAUGAGCUCGCGUCUGAUUAGCUAGUUGGUGAGGUAAUUGCUCACCAAGGCUUCGAUCAGUAGCUGGUCUGAGAGGAUGAUCAGCCACACUGGGACUGAGACACGGCCCAGACUCCUACGGGAGGCAGCAGUGGGGAAUUUUCCGCAAUGGGCGAAAGCCUGACGGAGCAACGCCGCGUGAGGGACGAAGGCCUCUGGGCUGUAAACCUCUUUUCUCAAGGAAGAAGAUAUGACGGUACUUGAGGAAUAAGCCACGGCUAAUUCCGUGCCAGCAGCCGCGGUAAUACGGGAGUGGCAAGCGUUAUCCGGAAUUAUUGGGCGUAAAGCGUCCGCAGGCGGCUUUUCAAGUCUGCUGUUAAAGCGUGGAGCUUAACUCCAUCAUGGCAGUGGAAACUGAAAGGCUUGAGUAUGGUAGGGGCAGAGGGAAUUCCCGGUGUAUCGGUGAAAUGCGUAGAUAUCGGGAAGAACACCAGUGGCGAAGGCGCUCUGCUGGGCCAUUACUGACGCUCAUGGACGAAAGCCAGGGGAGCGAAAGGGAUUAGAUACCCCUGUAGUCCUGGCCGUAAACGAUGAACACUAGGUGUCGGGGGAAUCGACCCCUUCGGUGUCGUAGCUAACGCGUUAAGUGUUCCGCCUGGGGAGUACGCACGCAAGUGUGAAACUCAAAGGAAUUGACGGGGGCCCGCACAAGCGGUGGAGUAUGUGGUUUAAUUCGAUGCAACGCGAAGAACCUUACCAGGGUUUGACAUCCUGCGAACCUCUUAGAAAUUUGAGGGUGCCUUCGGGAAUGCAGUGACAGGUGGUGCAUGGCUGUCGUCAGCUCGUGUCGUGAGAUGUUGGGUUAAGUCCCGCAACGAGCGCAACCCACGUUUUUAGUUGCCAGCAUUUAGUUGGGCACUCUAGAAAGACCGCCGGUGAUAAACCGGAGGAAGGUGUGGAUGACGUCAAGUCAUCAUGCCCCUUACACCCUGGGCUACACACGUACUACAAUGCUACGGACAAAGGGCAGCAAACUCGCGAGAGCUAGCAAAUCCCAUAAACCGUGGCUCAGUUCAGAUCGUAGGCUGCAACUCGCCUACGUGAAGUAGGAAUCGCUAGUAAUCGCAGGUCAGCAUACUGCGGUGAAUACGUUCCCGGGCCUU